RNAcentral lists this ribosomal RNA (492 nucleotides) under uncultured bacterium. Its description in RNAcentral is "partial 16S ribosomal RNA". It matches the Rfam family "Bacterial small subunit ribosomal RNA", at positions 29 to 507 of the family's 1533-position model. The record is from RNAcentral.
AGUGAACGCUGGCGGUAGGCCUAACACAUGCAAGUCGAACGGCAGCACAGUAAGAGCUUGCUCUUACGGGUGGCGAGUGGCGGACGGGUGAGGAAUACAUCGGAAUCUACUUUUUCGUGGGGGAUAACGUAGGGAAACUUACGCUAAUACCGCAUACGACCUACGGGUGAAAGCAGGGGAUCUUCGGACCUUGCGCGAUUGAAUGAGCCGAUGUCGGAUUAGCUAGUUGGCGGGGUAAAGGCCCACCAAGGCGACGAUCCGUAGCUGGUCUGAGAGGAUGAUCAGCCACACUGGAACUGAGACACGGUCCAGACUCCUACGGGAGGCAGCAGUGGGGAAUAUUGGACAAAGGGCGCAAGCCUGAUCCAGCCAUACCGCGUGGGUGAAGAAGGCCUUCGGGUUGUAAAGCCCUUUUGUUGGGAAAGAAAAGCAGCAGGUUAAUACCCCGCUAUUCUGACGGUACCCAAAGAAUAAGCACCGGCUAACUUCGUG